GAUGAACGCUGGCGGCGUGCCUAAUACAUGCAAGUCGAGCGAACGGACGAGAAGCUUGCUUUUCUGAUGUUAGCGGCGGACGGGUGAGUAACACGUGGAUAACCUACCUAUAAGACUGGGAUAACUUCGGGAAACCGGAGCUAAUACCGGAUAAUAUUUUGAACCGCAUGGUUCAAAAGUGAAGGACGGUCCUGCUGUCACUUAUAGACGGAUCCGCGCUGCAUUAGCUAGUUGGUAAGGUAACGGCUUACCAAGGCAACGAUGCAUAGCCGACCUGAGAGGGUGACCGGCCACACUAGAACUGCGACACGGUCCAGACUCCUACGGGAGGCAGCAGUAGGGAAUCUUCCGGAAUGGGCGAAAGCCUGACGGAGCAACGCCGCGUGAGUGAUGAGGGUCUUCGGAUCGUAAAACUCUGUUAUUAGGGAAGAACAUAUGUGUAAGUAACUGUGCACAUCUUGACGUUACCUAAUCAGAAAGCCACGGCUAACUACGUG
This 497-nucleotide ribosomal RNA is filed under the name uncultured bacterium. RNAcentral describes it as "partial 16S ribosomal RNA". It matches the Rfam family "Bacterial small subunit ribosomal RNA", at positions 28 to 507 of the family's 1533-position model. The record is from RNAcentral.